UACGGAGGGUGCAAGCGUUGCUCGGAAUUAUUGGGCGUAAAGCGCACGCAGGCGGCAAGGUAAGUCAGUUGUGAAAUUCCCGAGCUUAACUUGGGAGCUGCAGCUGAUACUGUCCCGCUUGAGUACGGAAGAGGGGAGCGGAAUUCCCAGUGUAGAGGUGAAAUUCGUAGAUAUUGGGAGGAACACCGGUGGCGAAGGCGGUUCCCUGGUCCGAUACUGACGCUCAUGUGCGAAAGCGUGGGGAGCAAACAGG
This 253-nucleotide ribosomal RNA is filed under the name uncultured bacterium. Its description in RNAcentral is "partial 16S ribosomal RNA". It matches the Rfam family "Bacterial small subunit ribosomal RNA", at positions 524 to 776 of the family's 1533-position model. The record is from RNAcentral.